GACGAACGCUGGCGGCGUGCCUAACACAUGCAAGUUGAGCGACGAACCAGGGCUUGCCCUGGGGCAAAGCAGCGAACGGGUGAGUAACACGUGGGUAACCUACCCCGAUAACCGGGACAACCCGAGGAAACUCGGGCUAAUACCGGAUGUGCUCACUGGACUUCGGUUCAGUGCGUAAAGGAAGCUUCGGCCUCCGUAUCGGGAGGGGCCCGCGGCCCAUUAGUUUGUUGGUGAGGUAACGGCUCACCAAGACCGCGAUGGGUAGCUGGUCUGAGAGGACGAUCAGCCACACUGGGACUGAGACACGGCCCAGACUCCUACGGGAGGCAGCAGUGGGGAAUCUUGCGCAAUGCGCGAAAGCGUGACGCAGCAACGCCGCGUGGGGGAAGAAGGCCUUCGGGUUGUAAACCCCUUUUAGGAGGGGCGAAGGUUCGGCGGUGAAUAGCCGUCCGGACUGACGGUACCUCCACAAGAAGCCCCGGCUAACUACGUG
RNAcentral lists this ribosomal RNA (493 nucleotides) under uncultured bacterium. Its description in RNAcentral is "partial 16S ribosomal RNA". It matches the Rfam family "Bacterial small subunit ribosomal RNA", at positions 28 to 507 of the family's 1533-position model. The record is from RNAcentral.